GCUUCCUUAGCUCAGCCGGUUAGAGCAUCUGACUGUUAAUCAGAGGGUCCAAGGUUCAAGUCCUUGAGGGAGCGCCA
Molecule: transfer RNA, 77 nt
Filed under: Bacteroidales bacterium
Lineage: Bacteria; Pseudomonadati; Bacteroidota; Bacteroidia; Bacteroidales
Description: tRNA-Asn
Rfam family: tRNA
About the family: Transfer RNA (tRNA) molecules are approximately 80 nucleotides in length.
Source: RNAcentral